Molecule: ribosomal RNA, 838 nt
Filed under: uncultured Polaribacter sp.
Lineage: Bacteria; Pseudomonadati; Bacteroidota; Flavobacteriia; Flavobacteriales; Flavobacteriaceae
Description: bacterial SSU rRNA
Rfam family: Bacterial small subunit ribosomal RNA
Source: RNAcentral
AGGAUGAACGCUAGCGGCAGGCUUAACACAUGCAAGUCGAGGGGUAACAGGAAUAGCUUGCUAUUCGCUGACGACCGGCGCACGGGUGCGUAACGCGUAUAGAAUCUACCUUUUACUAAGGGAUAGCCUUUAGAAAUGAAGAUUAAUACCUUAUAGUAUUAUAGACUGGCAUCAGUUUAUACUUAAAGAUUUAUUGGUAAAAGAUGACUAUGCGUUCUAUUAGCUAGAUGGUAAGGUAACGGCUUACCAUGGCUACGAUAGAUAGGGGUCCUGAGAGGGAGAUCCCCCACACUGGUACUGAGACACGGACCAGACUCCUACGGGAGGCAGCAGUGAGGAAUAUUGGGCAAUGGAGGCAACUCUGACCCAGCCAUGCCGCGUGCAGGAAGACGGCCCUAUGGGUUGUAAACUGCUUUUAUACAGGAAGAAACACUCCCUCGUGAGGGAGCUUGACGGUACUGUAAGAAUAAGCACCGGCUAACUCCGUGCCAGCAGCCGCGGUAAUACGGAGGGUGCAAGCGUUAUCCGGAAUCAUUGGGUUUAAAGGGUCCGCAGGCGGUCAAUUAAGUCAGAGGUGAAAUCCCAUAGCUUAACUAUGGAACUGCCUUUGAUACUGGUUGACUUGAGUUAUACGGAAGUAGAUAGAAUGUGUAGUGUAGCGGUGAAAUGCAUAGAGAUUACACAGAAUACCGAUUGCGAAGGCAGUCUACUACGUAUAUACUGACGCUCAUGGACGAAAGCGUGGGGAGCGAACAGGAUUAGAUACCCUGGUAGUCCACGCCGUAAACGAUGGACACUAGUUGUUGGGAUUUAUCUCAGUGACUAAGCGAAAGUGAUA